This 73-nucleotide transfer RNA is filed under the name Ailuropoda melanoleuca (giant panda). It matches the Rfam family "tRNA". From Rfam's summary of the family: Transfer RNA (tRNA) molecules are approximately 80 nucleotides in length. Their secondary structure includes four short double-helical elements and three loops (D, anti-codon, and T loops). Lineage: Eukaryota; Metazoa; Chordata; Mammalia; Carnivora; Ursidae. The record is from Rfam by way of RNAcentral.
GCCUGGCUGGCUCAGUCUGUAGAGUGUGUGACUCUUGACCUCAGGGUUGUGAGUUUGAGCCCCAUGUUGGGCG